This is a non-coding RNA of Arachis ipaensis, 136 nucleotides long. The record is from RefSeq and is a predicted model, not a curated record. Lineage: Eukaryota; Viridiplantae; Streptophyta; Magnoliopsida; Fabales; Fabaceae.
CCAAAAUUUUCUAAAACCUUCUAGGAUAUUACAGGACCUUCUAGGACAUUCUAAAACAUUCCGGAACCAUCUAGAACAUUUUCAAACACUCUAGAAAACUAUACAAACACCAUUAAAUCUAGCAUUCUAAAAUUUA